GGACCCGCACAAGUAGUGGAGCAUGUGGUUUAAUUCGAAGAUACGCGCAGAACCUUACCAACACUUGACAUGUUCGUCGCGACUCUAAGAGAUUAGAGUUUUCGGUUCGGCCGGACGAAACACAGGUGCUGCAUGGCUGUCGUCAGCUCGUGUCGUGAGAUGUUGGGUUAAGUCCCGCAACGAGCGCAACCCUCACUUUUAGUUGCCAUCAUUUAGUUGGGCACUCUGAAAGAACUGCCAGUGAUAAGCUGGAGGAAGGUGGGGAUGACGUCAAGUCCUCAUGGCCCUUACGUGUUGGGCUACACACGUGCUACAAUGGCAUUUACAAUAGGAAGCGAGAUGGCGACAUCAAGCAAAUCCUAAAAAGAUGCCUCAGUUCGGAUUGUACUCUGCAACUCGAGUACAUGAAGCUGGAAUUACUAGUAAUCG
RNAcentral lists this ribosomal RNA (429 nucleotides) under uncultured bacterium. RNAcentral's name for it is "bacterial SSU rRNA". It matches the Rfam family "Bacterial small subunit ribosomal RNA", at positions 917 to 1344 of the family's 1533-position model. The record is from RNAcentral.